GUUAAAAAGCUCGUAGUUGAAUUUCGGGGUUAGUAGGUUGGUCAUGCCUCUGGUAUGUACUGGUUUCACUGAUUCCUCCUUCAUGAUGAGCCGUAAUGCCAUUAAUUUGGCGUUGCGGGGAAUUUGGACUGUUACUUUGAAAAAAUUAGAGUGUUUAAAGCAAGCUAACGCUUGAAUACAUUAGCAUGGAAUAAUGAAAUAGGACGUUCGAUCCUAUUUUGUUGGUUUCUAGGAUAGACGUAAUGAUUAAUAGGGAUAGUUGGGGGCAUUAGUAUUCAAUUGUCAGAGGUGAAAUUCUUGGAUUUAUUGAAGACUAACUACUGCGAAAGCAUUUGCCAAGGAUGUUUUCAUUAAUCAAGAACGAAAGUUAGGGGAUCGAAGACGAUCAGAUACCGUCGUAGUCUUAACCAUAAACUAUGCCGACUAGGGAUCGGAUGAUGUUAAUUUUUUAAUGACUCA
This 459-nucleotide ribosomal RNA is filed under the name uncultured Glomus. RNAcentral's name for it is "SSU rRNA". It matches the Rfam family "Eukaryotic small subunit ribosomal RNA", at positions 618 to 1078 of the family's 1831-position model. The record is from RNAcentral. Lineage: Eukaryota; Fungi; Glomeromycota; Glomeromycetes; Glomerales; Glomeraceae.